This 32-nucleotide non-coding RNA is filed under the name Mus musculus (house mouse). Lineage: Eukaryota; Metazoa; Chordata; Mammalia; Rodentia; Muridae. The record is from RNAcentral.
UCAUCACUUCAGAAGUAUCAAGUUGGAUGAGC